AAGGAUUUGCAAAUCAUUGUAUUCUGUUUUUAUUUACGAAUUACACAACGUGCCAACUUCACUGGUUUUGGGGUGUGUAUUAACAUAUCCUAUAUGAAAAAGAUUCUGCAUUUUUUUUGCCUCUUAAGCACAGUGUGCAACCUCUCUCCCGUGCACUUUCAGCGGUAAAAGAAAAAAAAUAGAUGCAGUGCACGACUGCUUCUAAAAUGCUCAUAAAAAGUGGUACAUGUCCCAUGCUUGUUUAAAAAGAGAGCAUAAUGCUUUAGGUAGCAGCAUGAAAACAUGAAUGCGCAGUGAAUGAUCAAAUGUCUCCGUGGUGAUGCCUCGUAUAGUACACGGAAAAUCCACAUUUUAAAUAACGCGGCCUGCGCCAGUUUUUAAUAGCACGUGCAGUCUGAAAUGAGUGCACGCAACAAUAGCACUCACUAGUGUUGUCCCGAUACGAAUAUUUUGGUACCGGUAAAGGUAGCAAAAUUAUUUCGAUACUUUUCAGUACUUUUCUAAAUAAAGGGCACCACAAAAAAUUGCAUUAUUGCCUUUAUUUUAACAAAAAAUAUUAGAGUACUUUAAACAUAUGUUUCUUAUUGCUAGUUUGUCUUUAAAUAAAAUAGUGAACAUACAAGACAACUUGUCUUUUAGUAGUAAGUAAGCAAACAAAAGCUCCUAAUUAGUCUGCUGACAUAUGCAGUAACAUAUUGUGUCAUUUUCCAUUCUAUUAUUUUGUCAAAAUUAUUAAGGACAAGUGGUAGAAAUUGAAUUAUUAAUCUACUUGUUCAUUUACUGUUAAUAUCUGCUUACUUUCCCUUUUAACAUGUUCUAUCUACACUUCUGUUAAAAUGUAAUAAUCACUUAUUCUUCUCUUGUUUGAUACUUUAGCUUACCACCACCAGGUGUGAAUGAAUGAUGGCUUCCCACUUCUCCGCGAGCGCUUUGAGUAUCUAACAAUAGAAAAGCGCAAUAUAAAUCUAAUCCAUUAUUAAUAUUAUUACUUUACAUUAGUUUUGGAUGAUACCACAAAUUUGGGUAUCAAUCCAAUACCAAGUCACUACAGGAUCGUACAUCGGUCAUAUUCAAAGUCCUCAUGUGUCCACGGACAUAUUUCCUGAGUUUAUAAACAUAAUAUGAAUAAAAAUAAAAAAACCCCGAAAGAAGAUCUUGUGAUGCCAAAAAAUUGACCUACCAUAUUUCCUUGAAUUGCUGCCGGGGCGCUAAUUCAUUUAAAACAUCUUCUCACUUCUGCGCUUACCAAAGGAAUGCGGUAAAAGUAAGCAUGCGCUAAUUAUUUUAAAACCUCUUCUCACUCCGGCACUUACCAAAGGUAUGCGGUAAAAAUUUGAGUGUGAUGUAAGCUUGGACCUUAAAUCCUACUGAAUAGCUCUUAAUCUUCUUCCCUUUAUGCGAUUUCAAAUUACCGGUAUUGAAAUCAGCCUCCUCCAUUUUGAAAAUGAUGACAGGGGAAGUAUCACUCGUGACGUCACGAGUUUGACCAGGCGGUAAUACUAAGCAUGCGCUAAUUAUUUUGGGAAGCGAGUUUGACCCGGCAGUAAUUCAAGGCAGGCGCAUACUAUAUGCCCUGCGGCAAUUCAAGGAAAUACGGUAUUCAUAGUAGUAUCGACUACAUAUGCUACUGAAGUUGAUAUCAUUACAGUGGAUGUCAGGUGUAGAUCCACCAAUGGUAUUUGUUUACAUUUUGAUUCCGGUGAGCUACGGUGUGUAGUGAAACAUGUUUAGCUAUUCCUCGUCCUGCAGGGAUGAUACUUGUAAGAAACUCACUUUAUUAGUCGCCAUGGAGACGAGGAUUAAUGAUUUAGAAGUAGCUAAAACACUGCCGACUGGGGCUGGGCUUUAGCCGUUAGCUAGCUAGCCAUGUCUUAAAGCACUUCUUCCUGAAAGCAUUUCAGUGUUAUAACUUCACUUUUAUUUUUUAUUUAUUUUUUUAAGCCAAAAUGCGUCCGUUCUCCCUUUUCUGUCUACACACUGUGUCCGCUUGUAAGUACUCCAUGAUUGUGCACUGCCGAACAUGCUCCUUUGCUUGUAAACCAGCAAUGACAGGACUUAACGACGACUGAAGCGCGGGGUUGGGUGUGGCAGACCAAAACUUUUCAGAGGCGGUAUAGUACCGAAUAUGAUUCAUUGAUAUCGCGGUACUACACUAAUACCGGUAUACCGUACACCCCUAAUACACACUGUUUUAUUGUUUGCACACACUGUUUAGUGUGUGGUUUUUGAAACUUAGUAAAUCAGACCCCAAGUCUCACCGUCCCGCCUGCAUUGUUGGGCUCUUUGUCGUUCCAGUUAGUGUAAAGGACUGGACUGACGCCGUCACUCCAUGCGUACUGGUUUUCCACCAGUAUAUCAGACAUGCCGAUCCACGUGGGAGGCUGCAGGUCUCUCAGGAGCAGGCUGUUCUGAAAACAUCCCCCCGAGGACUCCUCAACGAUGGAUGCUUUUGACCUCCCACACUCCUCAAUGACACUUGGAGUCAAACUUUUGCUUGCAUGCAGAACGGCCCCAGGCCUAUGGACACUACAUCGACACACCCAAGACAAUGGGCAUACACACCAACUCCCCCAGCCCACGCCUUCACCGCCGCUUGAUUCCCCUUCGGGCUGAUGGACGGCUGACAGCGCUUUAUAGCAGCAGUCGACCUUCAGGGGUCCAACUAGCCCCCCUUCUGUUGCAAGUUGUUGUGAUGUAUGUAACAUGUUUAUGUGUGCAUGGCAUGGAGGUUUUUUCCCACUCGAGACUGGGCCCCCUUUUUUACUAAUCUUCUUCCCCAGCAUUUUACCUUUUUCCUAUCUUUUACAGGGCGCCUUGUGGCGACCCAUCAGCGUUCCUGUUCUGUAACCCUGUGCACUGUUUGUUUGUCUAAUCUUGAAUGGGUUUGUGCUGGAAACAAAGUUUCAUUGUACUUGUGCAAUGACAAUAAAUAUCAUUCCCAAGUCACAUAGUAGAA
Molecule: long non-coding RNA, 2956 nt
Organism: Nerophis ophidion (straightnose pipefish)
Lineage: Eukaryota; Metazoa; Chordata; Actinopteri; Syngnathiformes; Syngnathidae
Exons: 2
Source: RefSeq, a predicted model, not a curated record